GAAUCUGCCCCUUGGUUCGGAAUAACAGUUGGAAACGACUGCUAAUACCGGAUGAUGACGUAAGUCCAAAGAUUUAUCGCCGAGGGAUGAGCCCGCGUAGGAUUAGGUAGUUGGUGUGGUAAAGGCGCACCAAGCCGACGAUCCUUAGCUGGUCUGAGAGGAUGAUCAGCCACACUGGGACUGAGACACGGCCCAGACUCCUACGGGAGGCAGCAGUGGGGAAUAUUGGACAAUGGGCGAAAGCCUGAUCCAGCAAUGCCGCGUGAGUGAUGAAGGCCUUAGGGUUGUAAAGCUCUUUUACCCGGGGAUGAUAAUGACAGUACGGGGAGAAUAAGCUCCGGCUAACUCCGUGCCAGCAGCCGCGGUAAUACGGAGGGAGCUAGCGUUAUUCGGAGUUACUGGGCGUUUUGCGCACGUAGGCGGCUUUGUAAGUAAGAGGUGAAAGCCCAGAGCUCAACUCUGGAAUUGCCUUUUAGACUGCAUCGCUUGAAUCAUGGAGAGGUCAGUGGAAUUCCGAGUGUAGAGGUGAAAUUCGUAGAUAUUCGGAAGAACACCAGUGGCGAAGGCGGCUGACUGGACAUGUAUUGACGCUG
RNAcentral lists this ribosomal RNA (593 nucleotides) under Sphingomonas sp. A24MT8. RNAcentral's name for it is "bacterial SSU rRNA". It matches the Rfam family "Bacterial small subunit ribosomal RNA", at positions 122 to 748 of the family's 1533-position model. Lineage: Bacteria; Pseudomonadati; Pseudomonadota; Alphaproteobacteria; Sphingomonadales; Sphingomonadaceae. The record is from RNAcentral.